This 591-nucleotide long non-coding RNA is filed under the name Capsicum annuum. Its description in RNAcentral is "long non-coding RNA (CANN_LNC015524)". Lineage: Eukaryota; Viridiplantae; Streptophyta; Magnoliopsida; Solanales; Solanaceae. The record is from RNAcentral.
AAACAAAGAAAAUAACCUGCAAUAAUUAACAAUGCAUUAAUUUAGAUUUGAGGAGAAAUUAGCAAUAACACAAAGAAAGUAACCUGCUAUAGUUAACAGUGCAUUAAUUAAAAUUUGAAACUAAGGAGAAAUAACAAUAAAACAAACAAGGGUACUAAUUAAACAUUAGUUGUAGCUUCCUAGAGGUACUCUUGAGAACAAGACCAGGGUACACAUCAUCAGCAUCAUUGAUGUGAGUAUUUUCUUCCAAUAUAAAUAUGUCUUCACACUUAUCGGAUAUUGUUUGAAGGGUUUCUCCUUCUCCAACUACGUAUAUUUCAUCACACAAUUCAUUUGAUAAUCCUUCUUGAUCAUGUUCUUCGACACUUCGCGCUUCCAAGUUGUACUUUGUUGUAUGCAAAAAUAACACAAGAAAAAGAGAGAAAUAUGAAUUGAAGUUUUCUGCCGAAGCCUUUCCUGAGGAAGCCAUACGUGAAGUAGAUUGAAAAGAAAGAGAUGUAUUGAUAAGAAAAUUGAAAAAAAGUUUAUAUAAUUUGUUGGUUGAUUAGCAUAUGCAGAAAGUGGGGAGGCUUCCCACGUUACUUGAUAAAG